GCACAACGCGAAGAACCUUACCCACCUUUGACAUGUACGGAAUCCUUUAGAGAUAGAGGAGUGCUCGAAAGAGAGCCGUAACACAGGUGCUGCAUGGCUGUCGUCAGCUCGUGUCGUGAGAUGUUGGGUUAAGUCCCGCAACGAGCGCAACCCUUGCCAUUAGUUGCUACGAAAGGGCACUCUAAUGGGACUGCCGGUGACAAACCGGAGGAAGGUGGGGAUGACGUCAAGUCCUCAUGGCCCUUAUAGGUGGGGCUACACACGUCAUACAAUGGCUGGUACAGAGGGUUGCCAACCCGCGAGGGGGAGCUAAUCCACAAAGACCAGUCGUAGUCCGGAUCGCAGUCUGCAACUCGACUGCGUGAAGUCGGAAUACGCUAGU
This 382-nucleotide ribosomal RNA is filed under the name uncultured bacterium. Its description in RNAcentral is "bacterial SSU rRNA". It matches the Rfam family "Bacterial small subunit ribosomal RNA", at positions 954 to 1339 of the family's 1533-position model. The record is from RNAcentral.